ACUUAUGGGAAUUGUGGCAGUAAACUAUUGCUGUUACUUUCACUUUCUAAUCUCAUCCCUCUAUAAAAGAAAGAGGCUUGGAAAACAGCCAGCCAGAGAAAGGAAGAGCAGAGGAGAGGAAAGAAAGAGGUAGGAGGCAAACAGUGAGUGCUUAUCACAGAACUUCAAACUCAGAAAAAAAACAUAAUAAUUAGAGCAUUUCACAGUGGGAGGGAGACAAGGUGCUGGAGCAGUUUAUGGAGAAAAAGGAGGAAGUAGCAGUCACCAUCCUCAGUGCUGAAAACAUGCAGAUAGAGGAAGCUAAGUGCCUGGCAGGUAAGUUGCUGUAGGAGUGAGUAUGGGUAAUUCCCUGACCAUCUCUCCCUGCCUGAGUUGUUGCCUACUUUGUCAUGAAAGGGGGUUGCUGGACUACUCUGGGAGAUAGCAACUGGAUCUGGAAACACGUAGGAGCCCUCUAUGUUAUGGGGACUUUUUCCAAUGUGAGAAAUGCCUAUUGCUGCCACCAAGAGUUUGGCCUCCUAGGUGAAUUGGCACCCUCCUCAUCCCUCAACACUCUAGUACCUUCAGUUCUGCAAUACCUACUCAAUGUAUGUGGAUUCCUCCACAUUAGAGAGCCCACUAGGGUGGAAAAAACCGUAUUCAUGAAUCCAGGGAAAUCCUCCUGGGGGAUUGGGUUACUUGCAGAUUGUAUGGUGUUAAUGAUGUACUCAGUGCUAAUCCAUUUUCCCCCUCCCUUUAUAUGCUUCCUUUAUAUUUGUGCUUGUAAAUAAAGUGUGCCUUGAUUGUUGGUUCAUCCAUUAUGGAGAUGUCAGAAGAGCAUAUCUACAAGGUAUCAGGCUAGUCACACAGGUAAGUACCAGGUCAGGGAUAGUAUAAAUCACCUAGGGAGGUAAUGUCGGGUUCCUGAAACCCUUAAACAGUCAGGUGGAGGCACCAGCACUUAGCAGCUAAGAACCCAAACCACUGAAACCCACUGCAGCCGGAGCAGAGGGACAGCAGGUAAGGGUUUGUGUUGAUGAUUAGCUACACUUAGGGGUAUGACAAGACAUAAAACUAUCUUACAUUCUUGGACGCACCGCUGGGAUUGUGAAAAGAAAAAAACUCUCCCUUCUAUCCCCCUUCAUGAGUCUGCUUGGAUAGAGGGCACGUCCUAGAGUGAGAUGAAAGGGAUGAAGGAGACCCACAGCAGGCUGUGGUGGUGGGGAGGCUUUAGCAAGAGUACUUCCAGAGCAUAGAUUAUUGAGGCUGUGGCUACAGCAAAGGCAUUGGGACAGGUCACCUUUCAUAGCAGAAUCUAUUAGCAGAAAGAACAAAGAUUGUAUGUCUUAUGUUCUGGUUCAAUGAGGUUUGAUAUGCAGAUGGGACCCUGAGACAUAAUUGUGGAUGAAGAGAUGAAGCAAUUGACUCUACAAACUGUAGACACUAGGCUUAUCAUGCCCCCUAAUCCAUGGGAGAAGACAUGAUUUUCAAGGAGAAAUUCAACGUUUGCUUCAGAGAACA
Non-coding RNA from Chelonoidis abingdonii (Abingdon island giant tortoise), 1500 nucleotides. NCBI's taxonomy places the organism in Eukaryota, Metazoa, Chordata, Testudines, Testudinidae. The record is from RefSeq and is a predicted model, not a curated record.